AGCGGCGGACGGGUGAGUAACACGUGGGCAACCUGCCUGUAAGACUGGGAUAACUCCGGGAAACCGGAGCUAAUACCGGAUAGUAUCUUGAACCGCAUGGUUCAAGUUGGAAAGACGGUUUCGGCUGUCACUUACAGAUGGGCCCGCGGCGCAUUAGCUAGUUGGUGAGGUAAUGGCUCACCAAGGCAACGAUGCGUAGCCGACCUGAGAGGGUGAUCGGCCACACUGGGACUGAGACACGGCCCAGACUCCUACGGGAGGCAGCAGUAGGGAAUCUUCCGCAAUGGACGAAAGUCUGACGGAGCAACGCCGCGUGAGUGAUGAAGGUUUUCGGAUCGUAAAACUCUGUUGUUAGGGAAGAACAAGUGCGAGAGUAACUGCUCGCACCUUGACGGUACCUAACCAGAAAGCCACGGCUAACUACGUGCCAGCAGCCGCGGUAAUACGUAGGUGGCAAGCGUUGUCCGGAAUUAUUGGGCGUAAAGCGCGCGCAGGCGGUUUCUUAAGUCUGAUGUGAAAGCCCCCGGCUCAACCGGGGAGGGUCAUUGGAAACUGGGAAACUUGAGUGCAGAAGAGGAGAGUGGAAUUCCACGUGUAGCGGUGAAAUGCGUAGAGAUGUGGAGGAACACCAGUGGCGAAGGCGACUCUCUGGUCUGUAACUGACGCUGAGGCGCGAAAGCG
RNAcentral lists this ribosomal RNA (681 nucleotides) under Bacillus sp. MJBC9. RNAcentral's name for it is "bacterial SSU rRNA". It matches the Rfam family "Bacterial small subunit ribosomal RNA", at positions 94 to 761 of the family's 1533-position model. Lineage: Bacteria; Bacillati; Bacillota; Bacilli; Caryophanales; Bacillaceae. The record is from RNAcentral.